Mauremys reevesii (Reeves's turtle) is the source of this 869-nucleotide long non-coding RNA. RefSeq lists it as uncharacterized. The record is from RefSeq and is a predicted model, not a curated record. NCBI's taxonomy places the organism in Eukaryota, Metazoa, Chordata, Testudines, Geoemydidae. The transcript has 3 exons.
UCUCUCUCUCUCUUCUCUAGUGUUGGCCAACACACUCUGUCAGUCUGUCCUUGCCUCUUUUUCUGCUGUUUCACUUCAUUGCACACAGGCAGGUGAGUUAGCUGUGUAUCCCCAGAGGCCAGGUCUCGGGAAGCAUGGCGAAGUAGGAGAGGACGAAAAUAAUGCGGGGAAGUGUGUGUGAGAGUGGAGGCAGGUACUGGAAGGUCUUGUGCACCUGUAGUGUUUUUGGCAGUGAUGGCUCUUCCAUAGGUGGUUUGCUGUUCUUGCAGAGGGCAGCGGAGCAUCUGCAGGAAGCGGACCUGCACAAUCUAGCUGUUUCGCUUUGCAGUGGAGCCGAGGAGCGCUCUUGUAAUGUUGGAGGAGCAGUCGUACUGAGAUUGGUCAGAUGAGAGAUCGGCCAACCUGUGGCAGAGACCAAAGAAGGAGCAGCCACCCGGAGCCCAUCCCUAGGGAUGGAAGCCGGACAAUGAUCUGCAGAUACCACGGAGAAAGAAGUGAACGGUAAGAGCCCACCCCCGUUGUGAGAUGGAAAGCACCAAGAGCCGGGAGACCACAAGUGUUGUCGAUGCCAGCCUAUGGCGAUGCCGUCGAUCUGGGAGUGGAGCAGCCAUCACCAUCAGUGAGAUAAGUGUCUGGUUUGGGGAGGACUCCGGUAACGGCCCAUCUGCCUCCAGGCUGAGACUUGUCAUUAGCUGGGGCUCGGUUUGUAGGAAAAGAUUCCUGACCUGCUGUGGUUAUGAGGGAGACAAGGUCCCCAUUUUCAGGGGCUGGUCUUUUCUCUAUCCACAAACAGUGUGUCCUAUGCAGCAGAAGGUUGGAUCGAGGAGGAUGACUCCAGCUGUUGAGUUUCUUGACUCCAUCCCACAUUU